AGGCUUUUUAAUAUUUAAAGACAGUGGAGAGUUUGAUUCUCCGCUCAAGAGAAGCCGAUCAAAUCUUGUUUGUUCUCAUGCUCGGUACACAGGUUCCAAACUGAAGCGCAUAAAGGAUCUUCUCGGAUCUGGCACAGGUAAUCAUUUCAUUUUGAAGAUACAUGACGAUUCAGAGUAUUUUAAUCGAGGCAGUGGACUUUUGAACAAUGCUGUGGAUGUAUAUUAUGCAAUAUGUACAAAAAUAACAGUAUGUAUAUUUUGUUUAGACUCAGUUGCUAGAGUUACUGUUGCUUACUGCAAAAAUGUAUGUAAACUCUUCUGGAGCCGACACUGGGUCCUUCACAUUGACCUUUCUGGGAAAGAAAGUAGGGCGACAUCGUUCUGUGGCCCCUGCAGGCAAGAAAUGUGCCUGGGAGAGAAACAACCCAUGUACCUGCCCAGAGGAGCCCACAGUUUUCCCAAAGCUCGGACCGGUCCCAGCGACAACACACGACCUGGAUCUACCUGGAAGGGUUCCACAGUUCAUGGAUGAGAGUUCAUAUCAAGUAGACCAGAGAAAAAACAACACAGCAGGUGCUUCUGGAAAGAAAAUAACACCAUGACGACACACCCACAUUCCUGAUUGAGGAACGAGUGAGAAGGGAGAGGAAAACAAAUGUUACGAUGAUGAAAGAGAUUGAUGACAUUGAAUGCCAAUAAUCACUGUGAUAAAUAAGAUAAGCCGCAACCGUGGGAUCCUUUCAAAAGAUACAAAUAAACAGACAGACUGGAUGUAUUGCAUCUACAGUACUAUUAUUGGUACACUAUAGUAUACUUCAACUGUAAAAUAAUCACACACCAUACACUUUAAAACUGUUUUUGUGUAAACCAACUCAAAUCAAUCAAACUUUAGCCAUUGUAAUGUAUCUAUUUUUUCCAAUGCCUGUCACAUUUAAACUAUGACAUGACUGCUUAAAAUCGCAUUUCAUAAACAAAACAUGUCUGUAGCGAUCUACAAAAAAAUGGCAAAUUUAAUAAUUGGUAUGGUGAUAAGGGGUGAUGUAUUUUAUGUCA
Long non-coding RNA from Syngnathus acus (greater pipefish), 1053 nucleotides. RefSeq lists it as uncharacterized. The transcript is spliced from 3 exons. Lineage: Eukaryota; Metazoa; Chordata; Actinopteri; Syngnathiformes; Syngnathidae. The record is from RefSeq and is a predicted model, not a curated record.